Molecule: ribosomal RNA, 1325 nt
Filed under: metagenome
Description: bacterial SSU rRNA
Rfam family: Bacterial small subunit ribosomal RNA
Source: RNAcentral
GCUGGCGGCAUGCCUUACACAUGCAAGUCGAACGGCAGCACGGACUUCGGUCUGGUGGCGAGUGGCGAACGGGUGAGUAAUGCAUCGGAACGUGCCAUUGAGUGGGGGAUAACGUAGCGAAAGUUGCGCUAAUACCGCAUAUUCUGUGAGCAGGAAAGCAGGGGACCGCAAGGCCUUGCGCUCUUUGAGCGGCCGAUGUCAGAUUAGCUAGUUGGUGAGGUAAAGGCUUACCAAGGCGACGAUCUGUAGCGGGUCUGAGAGGAUGAUCCGCCACACUGGAACUGAGACACGGUCCAGACUCCUACGGGAGGCAGCAGUGGGGAAUUUUGGACAAUGGGGGCAACCCUGAUCCAGCCAUGCCGCGUGAGUGAAGAAGGCCUUCGGGUUGUAAAGCUCUUUCGGCCGGGAAGAAAUCGCAUGGGCCAAUACCCUGUGUGGAUGACGGUACCGGAAUAAGAAGCACCGGCUAACUACGUGCCAGCAGCCGCGGUAAUACGUAGGGUGCGAGCGUUAAUCGGAAUUACUGGGCGUAAAGCGUGCGCAGGCGGUUUUGUAAGACAGGCGUGAAAUCCCCGGGCUUAACCUGGGAACUGCGUUUGUGACUGCAAGGCUAGAGUACGGCAGAGGGGGGUGGAAUUCCACGUGUAGCAGUGAAAUGCGUAGAGAUGUGGAGGAACACCAAUGGCGAAGGCAGCCCCCUGGGUCGAUACUGACGCUCAUGCACGAAAGCGUGGGUAGCAAACAGGAUUAGAUACCCUGGUAGUCCACGCCCUAAACUAUGUCAACUAGGUGUUGGGUGGGUAAAACCAUUUAGUACCGUAGCUAACGCGUGAAGUUGACCGCCUGGGGAGUACGGCCGCAAGGUUAAAACUCAAAGGAAUUGACGGGGACCCGCACAAGCGGUGGAUGAUGUGGAUUAAUUCGAUGCAACGCGAAAAACCUUACCUACCCUUGACAUGCCAGGAACUUGCCAGAGAUGGCUUGGUGCCCGAAAGGGAGCCUGGACACAGGUGCUGCAUGGCUGUCGUCAGCUCGUGUCGUGAGAUGUUGGGUUAAGUCCCGCAACGAGCGCAACCCUUGUCGUUAAUUGCCAUCAUUUAGUUGGGCACUUUAACGAGACUGCCGGUGACAAACCGGAGGAAGGUGGGGAUGUCGUCAAGUCCUCAUGGCCCUUAUGGGUAGGGCUUCACACGUCAUACAAUGGUCGGUACAAAGGGUUGCCAAGCCGCGAGGCGGAGCCAAUCCCAGAAAGCCGAUCGUAGUCCGGAUUGCAGGCUGCAACUCGCCUGCAUGAAGUCGGAAUCGCUAGUAAUCGUGGAUCAGCA